This 271-nucleotide ribosomal RNA is filed under the name uncultured bacterium. RNAcentral's name for it is "partial 16S ribosomal RNA". It matches the Rfam family "Bacterial small subunit ribosomal RNA", at positions 355 to 619 of the family's 1533-position model. The record is from RNAcentral.
UGGGGAAUAUUGCACGAUGGGCGCAAGCCUGAUGCAGCCAUGCCGCGUGUGUGAAGAAGGCCUUCGGGUUGUAAAGCACUUUCAGUGAGGAGGAAGGGUUCAGUGUUAAUAGCACUGUUCAUUGACGUUACUCGCAGAAGAAGCACCGGCUAACUCCGUGCCAGCAGUCGCGGUAAUACGGAGGGUGCAAGCGUUAAUCGGAAUUACUGGGCGUAAAGCGCACGCAGGCGGUUUGUUAAGUCAGAUGUGAAAUCCCGCGCUUAACGUGGGA